Molecule: ribosomal RNA, 253 nt
Filed under: uncultured bacterium
Lineage: Bacteria
Description: partial 16S ribosomal RNA
Rfam family: Bacterial small subunit ribosomal RNA
Source: RNAcentral
UACGGAGGGUGCAAGCGUUAUCCGGAUUCACUGGGUUUAAAGGGUGCGUAGGAGGGCAGGUAAGUCAGUGGUGAAAUCUCCGAGCUUAACUUGGAAACUGCCGUUGAUACUAUCUGCCUUGAAUAUUGUGGAGGUGAGCGGAAUAUGUCAUGUAGCGGUGAAAUGCUUAGAUAUGACAUAGAACACCAAUUGCGAAGGCAGCUUACUACAGGGACAUUGGCACUGAGGCACGAAAGCGUGGGGAUCAAACAGG